AGCGUACACGGUGGAUGCCCUGGCAGUCAGAGGCGAUGAAGGACGUGCUAAUCUGCGAUAAGCGUCGGUAAGGUGAUAUGAACCGUUAUAACCGGCGAUUUCCGAAUGGGGAAACCCAGUGUGAUUCGUCACACUAUCAUUAACUGAAUCCAUAGGUUAAUGAGGCGAACCGGGGGAACUGAAACAUCUAAGUACCCCGAGGAAAAGAAAUCAACCGAGAUUCCCCCAGUAGCGGCGAGCGAACGGGGAGCAGCCCAGAGCCUGAAUCAGUGUGUGUGUUAGUGGAAGCGUCUGGAAAGGCGCGCGAUACAGGGUGACAGCCCCGUACACAAAAAUGCACAUGCUGUGAGCUCGAUGAGUAGGGCGGGACACGUGGUAUCCUGUCUGAAUAUGGGGGGACCAUCCUCCAAGGCUAAAUACUCCUGACUGACCGAUAGUGAACCAGUACCGUGAGGGAAAGGCGAAAAGAACCCCGGCGAGGGGAGUGAAAAAGAACCUGAAACCGUGUACGUACAAGCAGUGGGAGCACGCUUAGGCGUGUGACUGCGUACCUUUUGUAUAAUGGGUCAGCGACUUAUAUUCUGUAGCAAGGUUAACCGAAUAGGGGAGCCGAAGGGAAACCGAGUCUUAACUGGGCGUUAAGUUGCAGGGUAUAGACCCGAAACCCGGUGAUCUAGCCAUGGGCAGGUUGAAGGUUGGGUAACACUAACUGGAGGACCGAACCGACUAAUGUUGAAAAAUUAGCGGAUGACUUGUGGCUGGGGGUGAAAGGCCAAUCAAACCGGGAGAUAGCUGGUUCUCCCCGAAAGCUAUUUAGGUAGCGCCUCGUGAAUUCAUCUCCGGGGGUAGAGCACUGUUUCGGCAAGGGGGUCAUCCCGACUUACCAACCCGAUGCAAACUGCGAAUACCGGAGAAUGUUAUCACGGGAGACACACGGCGGGUGCUAACGUCCGUCGUGAAGAGGGAAACAACCCAGACCGCCAGCUAAGGUCCCAAAGUCAUGGUUAAGUGGGAAACGAUGUGGGAAGGCCCAGACAGCCAGGAUGUUGGCUUAGAAGCAGCCAUCAUUUAAAGAAAGCGUAAUAGCUCACUGGUCGAGUCGGCCUGCGCGGAAGAUGUAACGGGGCUAAACCAUGCACCGAAGCUGCGGCAGCGACACUAUGUGUUGUUGGGUAGGGGAGCGUUCUGUAAGCCUGUGAAGGUGUACUGUGAGGUAUGCUGGAGGUAUCAGAAGUGCGAAUGCUGACAUAAGUAACGAUAAAGCGGGUGAAAAGCCCGCUCGCCGGAAGACCAAGGGUUCCUGUCCAACGUUAAUCGGGGCAGGGUGAGUCGACCCCUAAGGCGAGGCCGAAAGGCGUAGUCGAUGGGAAACAGGUUAAUAUUCCUGUACUUGGUGUUACUGCGAAGGGGGGACGGAGAAGGCUAUGUUGGCCGGGCGACGGUUGUCCCGGUUUAAGCGUGUAGGCUGGUUUUCCAGGCAAAUCCGGAAAAUCAAGGCUGAGGCGUGAUGACGAGGCACUACGGUGCUGAAGCAACAAAUGCCCUGCUUCCAGGAAAAGCCUCUAAGCAUCAGGUAACAUCAAAUCGUACCCCAAACCGACACAGGUGGUCAGGUAGAGAAUACCAAGGCGCUUGAGAGAACUCGGGUGAAGGAACUAGGCAAAAUGGUGCCGUAACUUCGGGAGAAGGCACGCUGAUAUGUAGGUGAAGUCCCUCGCGGAUGGAGCUGAAAUCAGUCGAAGAUACCAGCUGGCUGCAACUGUUUAUUAAAAACACAGCACUGUGCAAACACGAAAGUGGACGUAUACGGUGUGACGCCUGCCCGGUGCCGGAAGGUUAAUUGAUGGGGUUAGCGCAAGCGAAGCUCUUGAUCGAAGCCCCGGUAAACGGCGGCCGUAACUAUAACGGUCCUAAGGUAGCGAAAUUCCUUGUCGGGUAAGUUCCGACCUGCACGAAUGGCGUAAUGAUGGCCAGGCUGUCUCCACCCGAGACUCAGUGAAAUUGAACUCGCUGUGAAGAUGCAGUGUACCCGCGGCAAGACGGAAAGACCCCGUGAACCUUUACUAUAGCUUGACACUGAACAUUGAGCCUUGAUGUGUAGGAUAGGUGGGAGGCUUUGAAGUGUGGACGCCAGUCUGCAUGGAGCCGACCUUGAAAUACCACCCUUUAAUGUUUGAUGUUCUAACGUUGACCCGUAAUCCGGGUUGCGGACAGUGUCUGGUGGGUAGUUUGACUGGGGCGGUCUCCUCCUAAAGAGUAACGGAGGAGCACGAAGGUUGGCUAAUCCUGGUCGGACAUCAGGAGGUUAGUGCAAUGGCAUAAGCCAGCUUGACUGCGAGCGUGACGGCGCGAGCAGGUGCGAAAGCAGGUCAUAGUGAUCCGGUGGUUCUGAAUGGAAGGGCCAUCGCUCAACGGAUAAAAGGUACUCCGGGGAUAACAGGCUGAUACCGCCCAAGAGUUCAUAUCGACGGCGGUGUUUGGCACCUCGAUGUCGGCUCAUCACAUCCUGGGGCUGAAGUAGGUCCCAAGGGUAUGGCUGUUCGCCAUUUAAAGUGGUACGCGAGCUGGGUUUAGAACGUCGUGAGACAGUUCGGUCCCUAUCUGCCGUGGGCGCUGGAGAAUUGAGGGGGGCUGCUCCUAGUACGAGAGGACCGGAGUGGACGCAUCACUGGUGUUCGGGUUGUCAUGCCAAUGGCACUGCCCGGUAGCUAAAUGCGGAAGAGAUAAGUGCUGAAAGCAUCUAAGCACGAAACUUGCCCCGAGAUGAGUUCUCCCUGACUCCUUGA
Molecule: ribosomal RNA, 2786 nt
Filed under: Escherichia coli
Lineage: Bacteria; Pseudomonadati; Pseudomonadota; Gammaproteobacteria; Enterobacterales; Enterobacteriaceae
Description: bacterial LSU rRNA
Rfam family: Bacterial large subunit ribosomal RNA
Source: RNAcentral